UGAAUCACUACAGAAGCCCGGGAAAGGCCUCGUCAUACUUCCUCUCCCAGCUAUCCAGUUCCUGGGCCUGGCUGAGGCAUCGAAGCCAAACACUGGAUCACUGUCAUCUUCAGACAAAAGUCACGGGGUACACACCCAGACCCUCCUGGGGGAAUCCCCACCCAGCCCUUGUGGAGAGAGUGUAAGAUUCCAUGACCCAUGGUUCAGCAGUGAACCCUGACCCAAAAGGGUUUUCUACAGAGUGACCUUUACCUUGCAGCAUGGCAUGAAAAGAUAAGUGAUCAAAUUACUCUCCCAGGAUUUGGAACCCAAAAGCAGAGGCAUGGUAGUCAGUCAUAAGUGGGCCCUGGGCUGGGAGGUGAAACAGUAAAGGUAGAUCCAAUGACUGGGGCUGACCACGUGGGGGGAGGGGUGGGAUUCAGAGGAAGCUGGGUGGGGUGCACAUGUGUGCAUGAGAGAGAGAGAAGCAAAGUUUAGAACUAUGCUGUCAAGUUUGGUAGCUGCAUGGGGCUAUUUAAUUCUAUUCAAAUAAUAAUUUUAUUUGAUUGGUUUAGUUUUUUAAAGUUAAAUUAAUUUAUUUAAAUAACAUUAGAAAUUUAAAAUUUAGUUCCUCAGUUGCACUGCAUAGAUCUAGAACAUUUCCAUCAUUACAGAUAGUUCUAUUUGAUGGCACUGGUCUAAGAGACGCACUAGGAUAGAGAAUACGAAGUCUUAGUUCUCAGUUUGCAUUCCUAAUUCCAAUUCGCAUAUUGGAAUCCUCUUGCCCAUGCUCCAUAAGAUUACUUGUAUCCUUAUAAUUCUCACCUGCCACUCUACCUCUCCCACACUAUCUUUUUCUUGACAUAGAUUUCAGUCCUCGUUUUACUUUUUAUAUUCAAAAGAAUCUUAACUAAUUACAUUGACUGAUAUUAAUAAUAAAAAAGAACCAUUACAAUGUAUUGAGGGCUUAUGUGCAUGAACACUAUGCCUUAGCAUUUUGUAUUCAUGCUUUUAUUUAAUCUUCAUAGGAACCUUACAAUAUAGAUCUUUUAUCUCCAUUUGACAGCUGAAGGAACCAAGGCAUAAAGAGGUUAAGUGAAUUGUCCAAGGUCACAGAGCUGGGAGGUUGAUAAAGUAGGAAUGGAAUUAAUCUUCCAUCUCCAGUGAUUGAUGCACAGGAAGCUGGCCUGACUUCUAACCAUGGAAGCAGACUGUGAAAAGUGGCAGAUAUUCUACCCUGGGACAUGAACAGGAAGUUUGAGAAGUGACAGGGAAUGGGCACAGGCUGACUGUGCUGGGAAGAAAUAGCCCAUCAGGAGCAAAUCGUAUGUCCUGUGAACCCAGGGGUCUGCCAGCAAAAUUCCCUGAUGCUAGAACUCUGGUUAGAGAACCACCCAGAGAAAUGGAAGAAACUACUCACAGCCAAGAAUUAGAGAACCAAAGAUUUGAGCCACCUGUAGCUCUGGUAAUGCCACUUUAGGAAGUUCUGGGUUAACAUCUGUUGAGGCACAUGAGAAUGUGCAUGGUCUCUGUGGCAGACUCUGGGUGACCAGCGACGGACAAACCCCAAGGCACCUCGUAAUACCGUGAGUUACAAGAGCAGCCAGGCUGCUGACACAUGAAGAAUGCAGAGCGCCUGGCAAAUUAAGCGCGGGCAUUUGGAAACCGAAGGCUCAAGAUCUCUUGUCAGGAGCCUCCAAGGCGAAUCCCUCCAGCAACUACUGCCUCUCUGGCGCCACCAUCUGGUGUCCGCUGGGUGGUUUGCUGCCACCAGAACUUGUCAAAACUGGAAAAAAAAUUUUUUUUUCAAUAGAUUUUUACUUUAUUGGGAAAUUGAAGACUUGGAUACAUUAAAUGAAAUCCACUUCUAGGGGAGAAAAAUUUAAAAAUCACAACAGAAAAAAUGCUAACACCCUCCAGGCCAUAGCAGAACCCAGAGAAUACAUUCAUCCAAUCGAAAAAUUCUAGGCACUUCAUAAUUGACCUUUUGAUACAAAAUGAUCUAUUAAAUUUGCAAUUCGUGGUUCUGGGUGUUGAGGUUUAUAGGACAAGCUUCAAACCUUGGGCUGAUUCCAUGAGGAGUUGUCUUUUGAAUCAGGUUUUCCUUGUUUAAGAGGGCACAGCAGCACCAGCACCCACCUUCUGGCCGCUUCUUUCUUGGCCUGGUGAGCCUGCACCGCGGCGCCAUCCACCCUGGAGCUGGCAACCACCGCAGGUGCAGCAGCUUGCAGUUGCCAAUCUCCAGCAACAUUCCCUGAAUCUUUCCAGCCAGCUUUGAAUACGAUGUUUGGGUAAGUGGGAACAAACUUUCUCCCAGCAUCUGCUUCUGGUUUCUGCAGCCAGCAUGGAGGUGUUGGGGGGGGGGGGGGGUCCUGCCCCCACGCGUGCACCAAGGUCUGCGGUGCCCGCAGACUCCGGAAGAUGAUGGAGGAGGCCACUGCAGGCACGUUUGCAUGGUGCAAAGACACUGACCAUUUGAUUCCAGCCAAACUUUGUUUCCUCAAAGCUGAUCUGGGAAUCAAGUUCCAGAUUCCAGCGUUCAGUACAUCUUCAGUAACAGGAAGUCUUCUGUCCCCCCUACUUGCUAGGUAUGCAUUUCUUGAGGUGGAAGAAAUUAGAGAUGUCAACAAUUGUUAACUCACGAUGGUUUUCUUUACAAUUUGCUCACAGAUGUGUCAGCACCAUCCCUACCGGCCAGUCCUUGCACCUUUGAGACCAAGAGAGAUUCAUGGAUGAUUUAGAAAUAAUAAUAAAUGCUGAUGUGCAGAAAAGUCUUCUCACUGUUAUAAAGCAUUUGUGUUCCUCAUCUUAUAGUGAAAUGUAUAAAUGGCAAGAGUUUUAUGGGUGACAGAUCAGCGUUCAAAUUUUAGCCUUACUAUGUAACCAUGGGUAAAUUACUUAAUUUCCCUGGGCUUCCAUCCCCUCAUCUAUAAAGUCAGAAUAAAAAUGCCAUCCUCAAAGGCUGCUGGAGGGGUUGUGGGAGAGGAGAUGGGCUAAAUGGGUAAGGGGCAUUAAGGAAUCUACUCCUGAAAUCAUUGUUUCACUAUAGCUAACUAAUUUGGAUGUAAAUUUUAAAAAAUAAAAAAUAAAAUUAAAAAUAA
Acinonyx jubatus (cheetah) is the source of this 3080-nucleotide long non-coding RNA. RefSeq lists it as uncharacterized. The transcript is spliced from 3 exons. Lineage: Eukaryota; Metazoa; Chordata; Mammalia; Carnivora; Felidae. The record is from RefSeq and is a predicted model, not a curated record.